Long non-coding RNA from Labrus mixtus (cuckoo wrasse), 336 nucleotides. RefSeq lists it as uncharacterized. The transcript has 2 exons. The record is from RefSeq and is a predicted model, not a curated record. NCBI's taxonomy places the organism in Eukaryota, Metazoa, Chordata, Actinopteri, Labriformes, Labridae.
AAGGCAAGGGAGAGGAAUGGAUGAGGAUAAGGUAUAGGGAGAGGAGUUAGAAUGCGUGGUGGUGCUCAAAGAAGGGCCAGAGCUAGGGUAACUGAUGAAAUAAGAGCUACUAUCAUAGACCAUGUCAUAAACCACGGGUUAUCAGGAUGGCUGGGGAACGACUAUAACCAAAUCUUAGACGGGACACAGUGGCAUCCAUUGUCCGGAUUUUUCAAGAAACCAACAGGAUUCAACAUCUACCCCCCUCAGGGGGAAGAGGAAAGCACCUACUGUAAAUGAAGAACAGGAACUUGCCAUUUUCAACAUGACAAUGAAAUAAAACCUUUACUGCAGCAA